AUUGAACGCUGGCGGCAGGCCUAACACAUGCAAGUCGAGCGGAUGAAGGGAGCUUGCUCCUGGAUUCAGCGGCGGACGGGUGAGUAAUGCCUAGGAAUCUGCCUGGUAGUGGGGGAUAACGUCCGGAAACGGGCGCUAAUACCGCAUACGUCCUGAGGGAGAAAGUGGGGGAUCUUCGGACCUCACGCUAUCAGAUGAGCCUAGGUCGGAUUAGCUAGUUGGUGGGGUAAAGGCCUACCAAGGCGACGAUCCGUAACUGGUCUGAGAGGAUGAUCAGUCAAACUGGAAAUGAGACACGGUCCAGACUCCUACGGGAGGCAGCAGUGGGGAAUAUGGGACAAUGGGCGAAAGCCUGAUCCAGCCAUGCCGCGUGGGUGAAGAAGGUUUUCGGUUUGUAAAGCACUUUAAGUUGGGAGGAAGGGCAGUAAGUUAAUACCUUGCUUUUUUGACGUUACCAACAAAAUAAACACCGGCUAACUUCGU
This 483-nucleotide ribosomal RNA is filed under the name uncultured bacterium. RNAcentral describes it as "partial 16S ribosomal RNA". It matches the Rfam family "Bacterial small subunit ribosomal RNA", at positions 30 to 506 of the family's 1533-position model. The record is from RNAcentral.